GACAUAGGUGGCGAACGUUAUCCGGAAUUAUUGGGCGUAAAGGGCGCGUAGGCGGCCGAUCAAGUCAGGCGUGAAAUUCCCGGGCUCAACCUGGGGGCUGCGCUUGAUACUGAUUGGCUUGAAUGCGGGAGAGGAUAGUGGAAUUCCCAGUGUAGAGGUGAAAUUCGUAGAUAUUGGGAAGAACACCAGUGGCGAAGGCGGCUAUCUGGCCCGUAAUUGACGCUGAGGCGCGAAAGCGUGGGGAGCAAACAGG
Molecule: ribosomal RNA, 253 nt
Filed under: uncultured bacterium
Lineage: Bacteria
Description: partial 16S ribosomal RNA
Rfam family: Bacterial small subunit ribosomal RNA
Source: RNAcentral